AGAUACCUGAAAUUCUGGUGACCUUUGCGUCUUCUCCACCGGUAAGUUCUCGAUUUCCUUAGCCAUUUGAUUCAUGCUUGUUACCGGGAUGUAGAUCUGAGCUAGGGGAAUCAAAGCCCUAACCCCUAGGACUCUGAUUCCAGAGGACUGUGAUUUAAUUUCUCAUUUUGUUUCUAGGGUUCAUGUACAAUCUGUUGCGAUUCGUUUAACUGGUGAAUAAUUGUUAGAAAUGGAUAUGGGAUACGGACUUAGGGCAACGAUAGGAAGAAGAUGACAUAGUUUUUUGGUGGUUUAGGGCUCCGCCGACGGCGUCGGUGGAGGAGACUUUCAGGUGAGGAGGGAAUUUGAGUUUGA
Molecule: long non-coding RNA, 354 nt
Filed under: Lathyrus oleraceus (garden pea)
Lineage: Eukaryota; Viridiplantae; Streptophyta; Magnoliopsida; Fabales; Fabaceae
Description: Pisum sativum (pea) long non-coding RNA (PSAT_LNC003593)
Source: RNAcentral